Molecule: ribosomal RNA, 497 nt
Filed under: uncultured bacterium
Lineage: Bacteria
Description: partial 16S ribosomal RNA
Rfam family: Bacterial small subunit ribosomal RNA
Source: RNAcentral
GAUGAACGCUGGCGGCGUGCCUAAUACAUGCAAGUCGAGCGAACAGACGAGGAGCUUGCUCCUCUGACGUUAGCGGCGGACGGGUGAGUAACACGUGGAUAACCUACCUAUAAGACUGGGAUAACUUCGGGAAACCGGAGCUAAUACCGGAUAACAUCUUGAACCGCAUGGUUCAAUAGUGAAAGAUGGUUUUGCAGCACUCUAAAGAUGGCCCCCCUCGGCUUUAGCUAGUUGGUAAGGUAACGGCUUACAAAGCGAACGUAGCGUAGCCAACCUGAGAGGGUGAUCGGCCACACGGGAACUGGGACACGGUCCAGACUCCUACGGGGGGCAGCAGAAGGGAAUCUUCCGCAAUGGGCGAAGGCCUGACGGGGCAACGCCGCGUGAGUGAUGAGGGUCUUCGAAUCGUAAAACUCUGUGAUAAGGGAAGAAGAAGUGGGUAGGUAACUAUGCACGUCGUGACGGUACCUAAUCAGAAAGCCACGGCUAACUACGUG